RNAcentral lists this non-coding RNA (25 nucleotides) under Cricetulus griseus (Chinese hamster). The record is from RNAcentral. Lineage: Eukaryota; Metazoa; Chordata; Mammalia; Rodentia; Cricetidae.
AGCGACUGGGAGUGGGGACGCCUCG